AGUGAACGCUGGCGGUAGGCCUAACACAUGCCAGUCGAACGGCAGCACAGUAAGAGCUUGCUCUUACGGGUGGCGAGUGGCGGACGGGUGAGGAAUACAUCGGAAUCUACUUUUUCGUGGGGGAUAACGUAGGGAAACUUACGCUAAUACCGCAUACGACCUACGGGUGAAAGCAGGGGAUCUUCGGACCUUGCGCGAUUGAAUGAGCCGAUGUCGGAUUAGCUAGUUGGCGGGGUAAAGGCCCACCAAGGCGACGAUCCGUAGCUGGUCUGAGAGGAUGAUCAGCCACAUUGGAACUGAGACACGGUCCAGACUCCUACGGGAGGCAGCAGUGGGGAAUAUUGGACAAUGGGCGCAAGCCUGAUCCAGCCAUACCGCGUGGGUGAAGAAGGCCUUCGGGUUGUAAAGCCCUUUUGUUGGGAAAGAAAAGCAGCAGGUUAAUACCCCGCUGUUCUGACGGUACCCAAAGAAUAAGCACCGGCUAACUUCGUG
This 492-nucleotide ribosomal RNA is filed under the name uncultured bacterium. RNAcentral's name for it is "partial 16S ribosomal RNA". It matches the Rfam family "Bacterial small subunit ribosomal RNA", at positions 29 to 507 of the family's 1533-position model. The record is from RNAcentral.